RNAcentral lists this ribosomal RNA (254 nucleotides) under uncultured bacterium. Its description in RNAcentral is "partial 16S ribosomal RNA". It matches the Rfam family "Bacterial small subunit ribosomal RNA", at positions 524 to 776 of the family's 1533-position model. The record is from RNAcentral.
UACAGAGGGUGCAAGCGUUAAUCGGAAUUACUGGGCGUAAAGCGUGCGUAGACGGUUACAUAAGUCGGGUGUGAAAGCCCCGGGCUCAACCUGGGAAUUGCAUUCGAGACUGCGUAGCUAGGGUGCGGAAGAGGGAAGCGGAAUUUCCGGUGUAGCGGUGAAAUGCGUAGAUAUCGGAAGGAACACCAGUGGCGAAAGCGGCUUCCUGGUCCAGCACCCGACGUUCAGGCACGAAAGCGUGGGGAGCAAACAGG